AUUGAACGCUGGCGGCAGGCCUAACACAUGCAAGUCGAACGAGUGGCGGACGGGUGAGUUAUGUCUGGGAAACUGCCUGAUGGAGGGGGAUAACCACUGGAAACGGUAGCUAAUCCCGCAUACCAUCAGAUGUGCCCAGUGGGGAUUAGCUAGUUGGUGGGGUAACGGCGCACCAAGGCGGCGAUCCCUAGCUGGUCUGAGAGGAUGACCAGCGACACGGGAAAGGAGAAACGGUCCAUAGUCCUACGGGAGGCAGCAGUGGGGAAUAGUGCACAAUGGGCGCAAGCCGGAUGCAGCCAUGACGCGUGUAUGAAGAAGGCCUUCGGGUUGAAAAGUAUUUUCAGCUGGGAGGCGUUACCCGCAGAAGAAGCACCGGCUAACUCCGUGCCAGCAGCCGCGGUAAUAC
RNAcentral lists this ribosomal RNA (406 nucleotides) under uncultured bacterium. RNAcentral's name for it is "partial 16S ribosomal RNA". It matches the Rfam family "Bacterial small subunit ribosomal RNA", at positions 29 to 526 of the family's 1533-position model. The record is from RNAcentral.